Molecule: ribosomal RNA, 794 nt
Filed under: uncultured Pelagibacteraceae bacterium
Lineage: Bacteria; Pseudomonadati; Pseudomonadota; Alphaproteobacteria; Candidatus Pelagibacterales; Candidatus Pelagibacteraceae
Description: bacterial SSU rRNA
Rfam family: Bacterial small subunit ribosomal RNA
Source: RNAcentral
ACGCCUUAUACAUGCAAGUCGAACGAAGUAGCAAUACUUAGUGGCAGACGGGUGAGUAACAUGUAGGUAUCUUCCCUUUGGUGAGGAAUAACACGAGGAAACUUGUGCUAAUACCUCAUAAGUCUUCACGGAGAAAGCUUUAUGCGCCGAAGGAUGAGCCUGCACUUGAUUAGUUUGUUGGUGGGGUAAUGGCCUACCAAGACUGUGAUCUAUAGCUGAUCUGAGAGGAUGAUCAGCCACAUUGGGACUGAGACACGGCCCAAACUCCUACGGGAGGCAGCAGUAGGGAAUAUUGCACAAUGGAGGAAACUCUGAUGCAGCGAUGCCGCGUGAGUGAAGAAGGCCUUUGGGUUGUAAAGCUCUUUCGUCGGGGAAGAAAAUGACUGUACCCGAAUAAGAAGGUCCGGCUAACUUCGUGCCAGCAGCCGCGGUAAUACGAAGGGACCUAGCGUAGUUCGGAAUUACUGGGCUUAAAGAGUUCGUAGGUGGUUAAAAAAGUUGGUGGUGAAAUCCCAGAGCUUAACUCUGGAACUGCCAUCAAAACUUUUUAGCUAGAGUAUGAUAGAGGAAAGCAGAAUUUCUAGUGUAGAGGUGAAAUUCGUAGAUAUUAGAAAGAAUACCAAUUGCGAAGGCAGCUUUCUGGAUCAUUACUGACGCUGAGGAACGAAAGCAUGGGUAGCGAAGAGGAUUAGAUACCCUCGUAGUCCAUGCCGUAAACGAUGUGUGUUAGACGUUGGAAAUUUAUUUUCAGUGUCGCAGCGAAAGCAUUAAACACACCGCCUGGGGAGUACGAC